This 429-nucleotide long non-coding RNA is filed under the name Citrus maxima (pomelo). Its description in RNAcentral is "long non-coding RNA (CMAX_LNC000968)". Lineage: Eukaryota; Viridiplantae; Streptophyta; Magnoliopsida; Sapindales; Rutaceae. The record is from RNAcentral.
UAAGCAUCAGGUUACUGUAUUACACAGAGAUACUUACAAAUGACAACAUAUCAUUGCACUGAUAUUUACAAUCAAAUAUAUACCUGGGAUUUACAUUAUUACAUUUUUAUUCUAUGAAGUACAUGCCCAGCUAAAUACCCCUCAAGGAAGAGGGAUGUCUCGACUCCACUCGCAUUUCUCCCUUAUCAAAUAUAUACCUGGGAUUUACAUUAUUACAUUUUUAUUCUAUGAAGUACAUGCCCAGCUAAAUACCCCUCAAGGAAGAGGGAUGUCUCGACUCCACUCGCAUUUCGCAAGGGAGAAAGACGUUAUAACAAUCUCCACACAAUUAUAACUAAUUGAGGUAGUUUGAGUCCGUGGGGACUCGAACCAUUGCCCUCAUAGUUAUGCUUGACUUUAAGAGCAAUGGUUCACCACCGGGCCACAAGC